UCGAUUUAUUUUGCGUUAUUCUCAUUCUGCUAGAAAAAAUGUAGCCAAACUUUGAACUAGUCUCAAAUAAGAUCUGCGCCAUGAGAACAUGAUACACCAGUCUACAUUUCUGCUCGACUUAUUGGUCAAAUGAACUUUGACCCGCCUUUCCCCCCAAAACAAACACACAACAGUAAAUGGGUAGAUAUUAAGACAUUAAAACAUAAGAGAUUAUAACACUAACAAAAGUGAUUGUUUUUUCAAGCCUAACUAAUAAAAUGAUGUUUAGAAACCAAUUAUGUGUAAACAUCGGUGUCACGAUAUAGCACGGAAGUUAUGAAAUUGUAAAGCACAAAGGGAUACGUUAACACUUCUGAUAACGGUUCAAUGAUUUUACAGUCGGCAGUAUUUGAUUUUAGUUGAAAGUCUUCAUACACCCAAAAACAUGAUGCACACUGAGGUACCCACUGACACAACACAUGAAACAUGUGGCAAUACUAAGUUAGGCUACCUCAACUUGAUAUGUUUAACUAAGUGUGCGUCCUCAGUCGAUAUUUGAACAAACAACAUUCUAUAAUUUGACGUUCAAAGUGUGAAAAAAAUGAGACGUUUUUUAAACAAUUUAAAUUCCACAACUACGC
RNAcentral lists this long non-coding RNA (620 nucleotides) under Mytilus galloprovincialis (Mediterranean mussel). Lineage: Eukaryota; Metazoa; Mollusca; Bivalvia; Mytilida; Mytilidae. The record is from RNAcentral.